This 471-nucleotide long non-coding RNA is filed under the name Hordeum vulgare. RNAcentral's name for it is "long non-coding RNA (HVUL_LNC010186)". The record is from RNAcentral. Lineage: Eukaryota; Viridiplantae; Streptophyta; Magnoliopsida; Poales; Poaceae.
UAAUCCACUCCUGAAUCACUUUCGUACCCCUUGACAGAUUCAUGGCAAGGCACAUAUCAGGUGCAUUACACAGCAUAUCAUACUAUAGAGCAUAUGGCUAAUGCAUAGGGGACAACCUUCGUCCUUUCUCUUUCUUCUGUCAUGGUCGGGCUUUGAUUCUUCCUCGAAUUCACACCUUACAACACAGCUAAGAACUCCUUCUUUGCCGAUCUAUUUUGAACUCCUUCAAAAACUUAUCAAGGCAUGCAUUUCGUUGAAAGUUCUAUUAAGCAUUUUGAUCUAUCUCCAUAGAUCUUGAUGCUCAAUGUACAAGUAGCUCAAUCCAGGUUUUCCUUUGAAAAACUCCUUUCAAACAACCCUUUAUGCUUUCCAAAAAUUCUACAUUAUUUCCGAUCAACAAUAUGUCAACCACAUAUACUUAUCAGAAAUUCUAUAAUGCUCCCACUCAAUUCUUUGGAAAUACAAGUUUCU